Molecule: unclassified non-coding RNA, 204 nt
Filed under: soil metagenome
Description: partial contains small subunit ribosomal RNA, internal transcribed spacer 1, and 5.8S ribosomal RNA
Source: RNAcentral
UCUCCGUUGGUGAACCAGCGGAGGGAUCAUUACAGAGUUGCAAAACUCCCAACCCUUUGUGAACGAACCUGACAGUUGCUUCGGCAGAAGGCCCUUCACUGGGCAGCCCGCCGGAGGGUCUCCAAACUCUUGAUAAUUUAUGGCCUCUCUGAGUCUUCUGUACUGAAUAAGUCAAAACUUUCAACAACGGAUCUCUUGGUUCUG